RNAcentral lists this long non-coding RNA (1139 nucleotides) under Homo sapiens (human). Its description in RNAcentral is "HSALNT0324473". The record is from RNAcentral. Lineage: Eukaryota; Metazoa; Chordata; Mammalia; Primates; Hominidae.
UCCUUCCGGUCUAAACAGUGAACGCCUCCGCAUCGACUCACGGGUUCACCUCCUUCCGGUCUGAACAGUGAACUCCUCCGCAUGGACUCACGGGUUCACCUCCUUCCGGUCUGAACAGUGAACGCCUCCGCAUCGACUCACGGGUUCACCUCCUUCCGGUCUGAACAGUGAACUCCUCCGCAUGGACUCACGGGUUCACCUCCUUCCGGUCUGAACAGUGAACUCCUCCGCAUCGACUCACGGGUUCACCUCCUUCCGGUCUGAACAGUGAACUCCUCCGCAUGGACUCACGGGUUCACCUCCUUCCGGUCUGAACAGUGAACUCCGCAUCGACUCACGCGUUCACCUCCUUCCGGUCUAAAUGGUAAACUCCUCUGCAUUUUCUGUUCGGUUCUAUUUUGGUGGGGCCCACGCGUCAUCACAGAGUAUCUGGGAGCCCUGCCCUCUUGCAGAUGGGAAUGAAGGCCCAGGUGCUCUGGAGAGGUGACUCUCCUCUAGAAAGGAAACACUGGUUCUGUAAACCUGUUUGAGAAGAAAAGCUCGAGGUUUCUUGGCCUCUCUGCUUCUGGAGCCAGGGGAAAAAAUAGCCCCAGGCUGAAGACAGGAGGGACCAGAUUGCUGCUUGGUGAUGCGAUCUCACUGCAGAGGCAGCCAGGAGACCCUCCUGAGACGAAUCGGAGAGUCCAUGCUGCUUUUACACACAUCCUAGUUCUUUUAUAACUAGCCUUUUCCUAUUAACGGACAUCAUUCAAAAGCCAGUUUUAAGCAACAUAAAUAUUGAAAACAAUACUAUACUAUUUAGAAUUAAUUAUAAGUUUUGUUUUUAAAGCCUAAAUCUUUUAUUGUUGUUUGAACCCUGGGCACUGAAGCUAAUAAUGUAACUUUUCUCCCUUCUUUCUUCUUUGGCAUAGAUUUAAAGAACUGUUAGACUCAUUUAAAAUGCUAUUAGGCAUUUUAAAGAGUAAUUGUUAAAUGUGUUGUCUCUUGUGGGACUGGAAAUGUUCUGUUCUUAUCUGGCGCUGGUUACAUCCUGUUUUUCAUUUGGGAAAGUGCAUUGAGCUGGAAAUUUAUAUGUUCAAUUUCUGUAUGUAAAUUGUACUUCAGUAAAAAUUUUCAAAAAAGUGGCUGCCUUUUAUAGC